UACGUAGGGGCCGAGCGUUGUCCGGAGUUACUGGGCGUAAAGGGUGCGCAGGCGGCGCGUUCAGCCCGGCGUGAAAGCCCCCGGCUCAACCGGGGAAGGUCGUCGGGGACGGACGUGCUUGAGGGUGCCAGGGGCUGGUGGAAUUCCCGGUGUAGUGGUGAAAUGCGUAGAGAUCGGGAAGAACACCCGUGGCGAAGGCGGCCAGCUGGGGCACACCUGACGCUGAGGCACGAAGGCGUGGGGAGCGAACGGG
RNAcentral lists this unclassified non-coding RNA (253 nucleotides) under uncultured Thermomicrobiales bacterium. RNAcentral describes it as "contains 16S-23S intergenic spacer region". It matches the Rfam family "Bacterial small subunit ribosomal RNA", at positions 524 to 776 of the family's 1533-position model. The record is from RNAcentral. Lineage: Bacteria; Pseudomonadati; Thermomicrobiota; Thermomicrobia; Thermomicrobiales.